RNAcentral lists this ribosomal RNA (1528 nucleotides) under Klebsiella pneumoniae. Its description in RNAcentral is "bacterial SSU rRNA". It matches the Rfam family "Bacterial small subunit ribosomal RNA". Lineage: Bacteria; Pseudomonadati; Pseudomonadota; Gammaproteobacteria; Enterobacterales; Enterobacteriaceae. The record is from RNAcentral.
AGAGUUUGAUCAUGGCUCAGAUUGAACGCUGGCGGCAGGCCUAACACAUGCAAGUCGAGCGGUAGCACAGAGAGCUUGCUCUCGGGUGACGAGCGGCGGACGGGUGAGUAAUGUCUGGGAAACUGCCUGAUGGAGGGGGAUAACUACUGGAAACGGUAGCUAAUACCGCAUAACGUCGCAAGACCAAAGUGGGGGACCUUCGGGCCUCAUGCCAUCAGAUGUGCCCAGAUGGGAUUAGCUGGUAGGUGGGGUAACGGCUCACCUAGGCGACGAUCCCUAGCUGGUCUGAGAGGAUGACCAGCCACACUGGAACUGAGACACGGUCCAGACUCCUACGGGAGGCAGCAGUGGGGAAUAUUGCACAAUGGGCGCAAGCCUGAUGCAGCCAUGCCGCGUGUGUGAAGAAGGCCUUCGGGUUGUAAAGCACUUUCAGCGGGGAGGAAGGCGGUGAGGUUAAUAACCUCAUCGAUUGACGUUACCCGCAGAAGAAGCACCGGCUAACUCCGUGCCAGCAGCCGCGGUAAUACGGAGGGUGCAAGCGUUAAUCGGAAUUACUGGGCGUAAAGCGCACGCAGGCGGUCUGUCAAGUCGGAUGUGAAAUCCCCGGGCUCAACCUGGGAACUGCAUUCGAAACUGGCAGGCUAGAGUCUUGUAGAGGGGGGUAGAAUUCCAGGUGUAGCGGUGAAAUGCGUAGAGAUCUGGAGGAAUACCGGUGGCGAAGGCGGCCCCCUGGACAAAGACUGACGCUCAGGUGCGAAAGCGUGGGGAGCAAACAGGAUUAGAUACCCUGGUAGUCCACGCUGUAAACGAUGUCGAUUUGGAGGUUGUGCCCUUGAGGCGUGGCUUCCGGAGCUAACGCGUUAAAUCGACCGCCUGGGGAGUACGGCCGCAAGGUUAAAACUCAAAUGAAUUGACGGGGGCCCGCACAAGCGGUGGAGCAUGUGGUUUAAUUCGAUGCAACGCGAAGAACCUUACCUGGUCUUGACAUCCACAGAACUUUCCAGAGAUGGAUUGGUGCCUUCGGGAACUGUGAGACAGGUGCUGCAUGGCUGUCGUCAGCUCGUGUUGUGAAAUGUUGGGUUAAGUCCCGCAACGAGCGCAACCCUUAUCCUUUGUUGCCAGCGGUUAGGCCGGGAACUCAAAGGAGACUGCCAGUGAUAAACUGGAGGAAGGUGGGGAUGACGUCAAGUCAUCAUGGCCCUUACGACCAGGGCUACACACGUGCUACAAUGGCAUAUACAAAGAGAAGCGACCUCGCGAGAGCAAGCGGACCUCAUAAAGUAUGUCGUAGUCCGGAUUGGAGUCUGCAACUCGACUCCAUGAAGUCGGAAUCGCUAGUAAUCGUAGAUCAGAAUGCUACGGUGAAUACGUUCCCGGGCCUUGUACACACCGCCCGUCACACCAUGGGAGUGGGUUGCAAAAGAAGUAGGUAGCUUAACCUUCGGGAGGGCGCUUACCACUUUGUGAUUCAUGACUGGGGUGAAGUCGUAACAAGGUAACUGUAGGGGAACCUGCGGUUGGAUCACCU